AUGGCCCUGGGAUGGCGUCGCCAGCAGGGCUCCCGCAAGGUGCUCAGACCACACACCCAGGUCACCUGGCCCCUCAGAUGCAGCGAUCCCAGGGCAUCCUGCAAAGCCCGUCGCGUGGCGGGGGAGCGUGGGCUCACAGGAGGCCACCUGCCGUGUUUUCCCCUGACCCUUGCUGGGAAGACCGGCUUAAUGGGGCUUCACAGUGGGCCAUGGGGCUCGACUGUGUCCUGUCCCAGGCAAGACAGGCAGACCCUCUUGCCUGCUGCCCAGGUGGGCUGCAGCCCGGGAGCCACGCUGGGGGCCGCAGUGGACGAGGUGACCCCCGCUUCCACUUUUCUGCUUCUAGUUGCAAAGAAGAUGAGCACGCGUGACUUCAUAGCGCAGGGCCAGCUGCCACAGUGUCCCAAGGCAGCGUGCAGGAGCAAGCCGGCUGUGGACCCGGAGGCGGGGCCUGAGCAGGGAAGACGUGGACCGCCCGCCCGCUCUCUCCCUGGAGCCACGCCCAGGCCGCUGCAGCCACCCAUCUCCUGGAGCUCCACUUCGAGCAGCAGCACGGACAGCUCCUCAUGCCAGAAGGAAGCGCGCGGCCCUCCGAGGCUCUCACUGCCGGGCAGGGUGCGGCGCAAGGAGUUCCGGCGGCCUUCCAAGACCCCAGGCCAGUGCUCCCUGGCCACCAUGGGCCCCAAGCUCCCCUCCCUGCGCAGGGUGAGUGUGCUGCCCCGAACCCGUGCAGGAAAGUUCUGGGAAUAUUGA
Molecule: long non-coding RNA, 753 nt
Filed under: Oryctolagus cuniculus (rabbit)
Lineage: Eukaryota; Metazoa; Chordata; Mammalia; Lagomorpha; Leporidae
Description: lncRNA (ENSOCUG00000035242.1)
Source: RNAcentral